CAUGAUUACCUUUUCAACAAACUGUGAACUAUAUUUUACUAUUCGUGUGUUGUUUUACUUUCGAGUAUUUCAAUCACACUGUCAUUCGAUGAACAUUAGAUAGCUGGCUCGUAACUUUGUUACUUUCUCAGCUGAUUGUUUGUAUUGACUAAACAUCUUACAACAAUCACCAUAAAAACAUAGAAA
Molecule: unclassified non-coding RNA, 186 nt
Filed under: uncultured fungus
Lineage: Eukaryota; Fungi
Description: sequence contains ITS1, 5.8S rRNA gene
Source: RNAcentral